Sander lucioperca (pikeperch) is the source of this 678-nucleotide long non-coding RNA. RefSeq lists it as uncharacterized. Lineage: Eukaryota; Metazoa; Chordata; Actinopteri; Perciformes; Percidae. The transcript has 5 exons. The record is from RefSeq and is a predicted model, not a curated record.
CUGGAGGACUGUUUCGAAGCUGCUGAUUACAGUUACAUUGCAGUGUGACAGGCAGCCGCUGCUGAAUAUGACAAAUACAAGCCUGUUUACAAAUAUAAGUGAAGAUGAUCUUGAUGUGAACUGUUUUCAUGACUGAUUUCCUGCUGGACAUCUCAAACGUGAUGCCGCGGAAGAGCUCCAGGCAAAUGAGUCCAUAGGCUGUCAUCAUGACGAUCCCGGGGAUUAGGAAGAGCAGCAGCAGCAGGGACACAUACCUGCAAGGGACACAUCGUAGGAGGUAAGAUCUGUGUCAUGCCAGAAGAUUUCCCCAAGUGGUCGUCUCUCACCAGCAGCACCAGACUGAGAAAAUCAAUACUGUAGAGGGUCCAUCUGAAAUAAGCAAAUGGGCUACUUUAGCUGCCACACAAUCGGAGCGCAUCUGAGUGUGAAGACACCGCGCUGGGACAGUAAAGUCUGCCUUGCUUGCUUGUGCCUACCUGCCUGCUUGCUUGCCUGCCUGCUUCUCUCUGGAUGCAGUGAAGUUUGCCACGUGUUGGAAUUGUUUGUUGUCUCUGGAGGACGCCAUAACCACAUGGUCGACGCCACAAACAAAAGACACUGAUUCACUGGGCACGCUCUGGAGAGUGCCCUGCACCCACCACUCACCACUGGAUCCCCUGGACACCACACCCCCUUGCC